AUUGAACGCUGGCGGCAGGCCUAACACAUGCAAGUCGAGCGGAUGAGGGCAGCUUGCUCCUGGUUCCAGCGUCGCACGGGUGUGUAAUGCCUAGGAGUCUCCCUGGCUGUGCGGUGUAACGUCCUCAGGCGGGCGCUAAUACUGCAUACUACCUGAGCGUGCAAGUGGGGGGUCUUCGGACCGCAUGCUAUCAUAUGAGCCUAGGUCGGAUUAGCUAGUUGGUUGGGUAAAGACCUACCUAGCGGGCGAUCCGUAACUAGUCUGCGAGGAUGAUCAGUCACACUGGAACUGAGACACGGUCCAGGCUACUACGAGAGGCAGCAGUGGGGAAUGUUAGGCAAUAGGCGAAAACCUGAUCCAGCCAUGCGGCGUGUGUGAAGGAGGUCUUCGGAGUGGAAAGCACUUUAAGUUGGGAGGAAGGGCAGUAAGUUAAGACCUAGCUGUUUUGACGGUAACAACAGAAGAAGCACCGGCUAACUUCGUG
RNAcentral lists this ribosomal RNA (484 nucleotides) under uncultured bacterium. Its description in RNAcentral is "partial 16S ribosomal RNA". It matches the Rfam family "Bacterial small subunit ribosomal RNA", at positions 30 to 507 of the family's 1533-position model. The record is from RNAcentral.